GCGUAAGCGAUGCCAAGCAGUAGUGCGGUUUUCAUUUGGAGUGAUGACGUUCUUGUUGCACAUGAAGUGAUAAAUACUUGGGAAUCCUACGGCUAUGAUACAAUUCCAAAAAACUUCCUUUGGGCUUUUAUGUCCUGAAAUUCACAGAAGCUCACAGGGACCCCUUUAUUCUAGCAGAAACAAAAAGAAGCAAACAAGAUAAAAACUUAUCUCUUGUAUGUGUCGUGAUAUGCCAUAAAAUCAUGUAAAAUAUGAA
This is a long non-coding RNA of Ostrea edulis (European flat oyster), 256 nucleotides long. RefSeq lists it as uncharacterized. The transcript has 2 exons. The record is from RefSeq and is a predicted model, not a curated record. Lineage: Eukaryota; Metazoa; Mollusca; Bivalvia; Ostreida; Ostreidae.